CUUCAUCAUCGCUGGCAGCAACCUACUCUCUUAUUUCUUUAUUGGGUAAUGGCUACGCGUGUUGAGCACUACUCAAGCAGCCUUUGAAAGCUUCAACUUUGUCUCUUUUUGACCUAAUCAACUAUCCUGCUCAACUGAAACAAUUACUCCUAGAUCAACAAUCAUAGCGCAGCCUUAGGAUUGCUUCUAACUUGCAUUCGAAGUUUGAGAAAAACUUGUGCAUUACAGAUCGUUAACCAAUAACGGAGACUCAGUUCAAAUUCAUAUAGACGUUUAGUUGUUACUUUCUUGGAUCUCAGGUUCAUCAUGCAUCCUAUACUAAUAACUCAUGCGAGGAACCAAAAGUAUCUGUAUCAAGAUCGUAUAUGCAAGGCUCCAUACCUACCAGCUUGCUUACACUUUCCAAUUGGUUGGCACACCAAGAUGUUUGAUCCGCCAUUGCAGGAGGGUGGGAAGGAAAAGGGGGAAGCGUAAAUCAACCGCCACAAUGGCUAUUGGCGAGGUGCUGGAGCAGCAGUGGUGUUGGUCACUGAUGGACUUGCCACAUAAGCAGCAGCUGUCUCUGCAGAUGAGGAUGACCCUUGUUGGGCUGAUAAAGGAUUGGCACGAGUUGAUUUGUUUCUCGACUUCUUCUUUUUUGAUGCCAGUUUCUUGUUGGCCAUUAAUCUGAGGUAAAGGGGCUGGGAGAGGAUCUUAACAGAGAAGGUUUGAAGAAGAUGCCUCUUCGUGUUGCCAAGGGGAAGGAACAAGGGUAAGAUGGAGCAUUUUUUGAUUUUUGUUUUCACUGCUAGAUGGAAUAGUUUGCAUGUUAAAUAUGUAAUUUUAUUUGUAAUUUUAUUUGAUAUAUGUGUAUUUGUUUUGUUAUUGGGUUGUAACUUUAAAUUUUAUGUUUGCUAGAUUUUGUUUGGGAUGAUUGGAUGGGAAUUGGGCUAAUUGUGAAUUUGUAAGCCCAAAAGUUUUAAAAAAUUUCACUUGGGCUUAAA
This is a non-coding RNA of Prunus mume (Japanese apricot), 983 nucleotides long. Lineage: Eukaryota; Viridiplantae; Streptophyta; Magnoliopsida; Rosales; Rosaceae. The record is from RefSeq and is a predicted model, not a curated record.